ACGGAAGGCAGCAGUGGGGAAUAUUGGGCAAUGGGCGAAAGCCUGACCCAGCAACGCCGCGUGAAGGAAGAAGGCCUUCGGGUUGUAAACUUCUUUUACCAGGGACGAAGAACGUGACGGUACCUGAAGAAAAAGCAACGGCUAACUACGUGCCAGCAGCCGCGGUAAUACGUAGGUUGCAAGCGUUGUCCGGAUUUACUGGGUGUAAAGGGCGUGUAGGCGGAGCUGCAAGCCAGAUGUGAAAUCCCGGGGCUCAACCCCGGAACUGCAUUUGAAACUGUAGCCCUUGAGUAUCGGAGAGGCAAGCGGAAUUCCUCGUGUAGCGGUGAAAUGCGUAGAUAUUAGGAGGAACACCAGUGGCGAAGGCGGCUUGCUGGACGACAACUGACGCUGAGGCGCGAAAGCGUGGGGAGCAAACAGGAUUAGAUACCCUGGUA
This 437-nucleotide ribosomal RNA is filed under the name uncultured Clostridium sp. Its description in RNAcentral is "partial 16S ribosomal RNA". It matches the Rfam family "Bacterial small subunit ribosomal RNA", at positions 341 to 792 of the family's 1533-position model. Lineage: Bacteria; Bacillati; Bacillota; Clostridia; Eubacteriales; Clostridiaceae. The record is from RNAcentral.